Molecule: non-coding RNA, 28 nt
Filed under: Mus musculus (house mouse)
Lineage: Eukaryota; Metazoa; Chordata; Mammalia; Rodentia; Muridae
Source: RNAcentral
UGACAGCCAUUUCCAUGCCUGCAGUCUC